This 253-nucleotide ribosomal RNA is filed under the name uncultured bacterium. RNAcentral describes it as "partial 16S ribosomal RNA". It matches the Rfam family "Bacterial small subunit ribosomal RNA", at positions 524 to 776 of the family's 1533-position model. The record is from RNAcentral.
UACGUAGGGUGCGAGCGUUGUCCGGAAUUAUUGGGCGUAAAGAGCUUGUAGGCGGUUUGUCGCGUCUGCUGUGAAAAUCCGGGGCUCAACCCCGGACUUGCAGUGGGUACGGGCAGACUGGAGUGUGGUAGGGGAGACUGGAAUUCCUGGUGUAGCGGUGGAAUGCGCAGAUAUCAGGAGGAACACCGGUGGCGAAGGCGGGUCUCUGGGCCGAUACUGACGCUGAGGAGCGAAAGCGUGGGGAGCGAACAGG